AACGAACGCUGGCGGCAGGCUUAACACAUGCAAGUCGAACGCCCCGCAAGGGGAGUGGCAGACGGGUGAGUAACGCGUGGGAAUCUACCCAGUUCUACGGAACAACUGAGGGAAACUUCAGCUAAUACCGUAUACGCCCUACGGGGGAAAGAUUUAUCGGAAUUGGAUGGGCCCGCGUAAGAUUAGCUAGUUGGUGGGGUACAGGCCUACCAAGGCGACGAUCUUUAGCUGGUAUGAGAGGAUGAUCAGCCACACUGGGACAGAGGAACGGGCCAGACUCCUACGGGGGGCAGCCGUGGGGAAUAUUGGACAGUGGGCUGAAGCCUGAUCAAGCCAUGCCGCGGAAGUAAUAAAGAACUUAGGGUUGUAAAGCUCUUUCAGUGGGGACGAUAAUAACGGUACCCACAGAAGAAGCCCCGGCUAACUUCGUGCCAGCAGCCGCCGUAA
Molecule: ribosomal RNA, 447 nt
Filed under: uncultured bacterium
Lineage: Bacteria
Description: partial 16S ribosomal RNA
Rfam family: Bacterial small subunit ribosomal RNA
Source: RNAcentral